This is a long non-coding RNA of Megalobrama amblycephala (Wuchang bream), 966 nucleotides long. RefSeq lists it as uncharacterized. The transcript is spliced from 2 exons. The record is from RefSeq and is a predicted model, not a curated record. Lineage: Eukaryota; Metazoa; Chordata; Actinopteri; Cypriniformes; Xenocyprididae.
AUCACAAACAGCGUGGGCUCAAGUGUGAGGCCUCCUAGAACGAAGCCAUCUGUUCUGAUUAUGAGGACCCUAAAGGAGCCGCCUGUGUUGACUGAAGCACUGCCCUAAUGGAAUUACAGAGAGUGUAAUCCAGUCAGGCAGCCGCAGGGUCAUCCGCACCUCUCCUCUCUCAGGACCCCUAUUUACCGCCACCUGUCAGCAGAAAGAGAGAGACCAGCAGAAUAAAGCAACGCUACAAACACUGCGCCGUGUUACAAAAAUAUAUUUAAUCAGUUCUGCAAGGCAAGCUUUGUGAUAUUAUGAGUCGCACUGAAGUUCAGCGGCUGUUUGAUAGAGACAAUGAAGUCAAACCAAGUCCACCUGGAAUCGUCAUUGCCGUUUCCAGCUAAUGAAAAGCAGAAAUCGAUAGCUGGGAUUUAUGGGGAGGAAAUCAAAUGCCUCUUUGUUGGGCUGACGGAGGGAAUGUCUGUCUGAGAGCAGGACUGUAAUGGAGCCGUUCGGAGAGGACACUGACACACCGCUGGGCCCGGAAAUGCCUCACUCGAGUCCUGUCCGUCCCCACGAGAGAUACAGACAUCACCAUUACUGACUCUAGAGAGUUAUAAAACAGAAAGAAAGAAAGAAAGAAAGAAAGAAAGAACCAUGAUAACCAAUACUGAAUGAUGAUACUGAUACUUCAAUACUUAAUCAAAUGUACCCGUUUCUAUGUGCACUGUAACAAUUAUGUACCAUUUCUUCACAAUCAGAGCAGCAUCUUUAUAUACUGUAACUUAUUUGCACUAACUGGUCUACCAUCUGCAUCUUAAAUGCACUUUGUAUAUACAAAUGUAUAUAUAUAUAUAUAUAUAUAUAUAUAUAUAUAUUUAUACUUAUAUUGGUAUUUGCACUUCAGGUUUGGUGCUUCUGUAUUUCAUUGGUUUUGUACUGUACUCUGCACAUAUGAUAAUAAAGUUAAAUUUAAUCUAA